AAGCGCUUGCAACCAGACUUGCACGCGGUUAAUCAUCCGGUGUUCUCACCGGUGCACUUGACCGCGUUCAGGCCAGCAUCGGUUCGGGUGGCAGGAUAAAGGCCUUGGGAAUGUAGCUUCUUUCGGGGAGUGUUAUAGCCUGUGGUGUAAUACACCCUCUGGGACCGAGGACCGCGCUCUGCAAGGAUGCUGGCGUAAUGGUCAUCAGCGA
This 211-nucleotide ribosomal RNA is filed under the name fungal sp. RNAcentral's name for it is "partial large subunit ribosomal RNA". The record is from RNAcentral. Lineage: Eukaryota; Fungi.